This 450-nucleotide ribosomal RNA is filed under the name uncultured Glomeromycotina. RNAcentral describes it as "SSU rRNA". It matches the Rfam family "Eukaryotic small subunit ribosomal RNA", at positions 569 to 1023 of the family's 1831-position model. The record is from RNAcentral. Lineage: Eukaryota; Fungi; Glomeromycota.
CGCAGCCGCGGUAAUUCCAGCUCCAAUAGCGUAUAUUAAAGUUGUUGCAGUUAAAAAGCUCGUAGUUGAAUUUCGGGGUUAGUAGGUUGGUCAUGCCUCUGGUAUGUACUGGUCUCACUGAUUCCUCCUUCCUGAUGAGCCGUAAUGCCAUUAAUUUGGUGUUGCGGGGAAUUUGGACUGUUACUUUGAAAAAAUUAGAGUGUUUAAAGCAAGCUAACGCUUGAAUACAUUAGCAUGGAAUAAUGAAAUAGGACGUUCGAUCCUAUUUUGUUGGUUUCUAGGAUUGACGUAAUGAUUAAUAGGGAUAGUUGGGGGCAUUAGUAUUCAAUUGUCAGAGGUGAAAUUCUUGGAUUUAUUGAAGACUAACUACUGCGAAAGCAUUUGCCAAGGAUGUUUUCAUUAAUCAAGAACGAAAGUUAGGGGAUCGAAGACGAUCAGAUACCGUCGUAG